RNAcentral lists this ribosomal RNA (460 nucleotides) under uncultured bacterium. Its description in RNAcentral is "partial 16S ribosomal RNA". It matches the Rfam family "Bacterial small subunit ribosomal RNA", at positions 338 to 795 of the family's 1533-position model. The record is from RNAcentral.
CCUACGGGUGGCAGCAGUGAGGAAUAUUGGUCAAUGGACGAGAGUCUGAACCAGCCAAGCAGCGUGAAGGAUGACUGCCCUAUGGGUUGUAAACUUCUUUUAUAUGGGAAUAAAACGUUCCACGUGUGGGAUUUUGUAUGUACCAUAUGAAUAAGGAUCGGCUAACUCCGUGCCAGCAGCCGCGGUAAUACGGAGGAUCCGAGCGUUAUCCGGAUUUAUUGGGUUUAAAGGGUGCGUAGGUGGAUUGUUAAGUCAGUUGUGAAAGUUUGCGGCUCAACCGUAAAAUUGCAGUUGAAACUGGCAGUCUUGAGUACAGUAGAGGUGGGCGGAAUUCGUGGUGUAGCGGUGAAAUGCUUAGAUAUCACGAAGAACUCCGAUUGCGAAGGCAGUUCACUGGACUGCAACUGACACUGAGGCUCGAAAGUGUGGGUAUCAAACAGGAUUAGAUACCCCUGUAGUC